This 73-nucleotide transfer RNA is filed under the name Felis catus (domestic cat). It matches the Rfam family "tRNA". From Rfam's summary of the family: Transfer RNA (tRNA) molecules are approximately 80 nucleotides in length. Their secondary structure includes four short double-helical elements and three loops (D, anti-codon, and T loops). The record is from Rfam by way of RNAcentral. RNAcentral also lists the same sequence under 4 other names. Lineage: Eukaryota; Metazoa; Chordata; Mammalia; Carnivora; Felidae.
ACCCGGCUGGCUCAGUUGUAAAAGUGUGCAACUCUUGAUCUUGGGGUCAUGGGUUCAAGCCCCAUGUUGGGUA